Long non-coding RNA from Haliotis rubra (blacklip abalone), 1131 nucleotides. RefSeq lists it as uncharacterized. NCBI's taxonomy places the organism in Eukaryota, Metazoa, Mollusca, Gastropoda, Lepetellida, Haliotidae. The transcript has 5 exons. The record is from RefSeq and is a predicted model, not a curated record.
CGAACCCGGGUCUUCGGUGUGACGAAUGAACGCUUUUACCACUACGCUACCCCACCGCCCCCAACCAACAGUUAAAUGAAAUGUGAUUAACAAUUAAGGCCAGGCGUCAAUAUGAACCACAACAAAGGUGUCACUCUAAAUGGCAGUACAAAAUUGGUAUGCAGCACAAAUUCAGAAGGAAUAUAAUAAGAGCAGCGAUUAUGACAACGACAUUGAUGUCAAUAUUCAGCUCUCAGCAACAUGUAAUUAUAGGCCGCAGGGUAUAGUGCCUAUCAUCAUUCUGGAUUAAGUUCACGCAGCUCCCACCAGCCCCUUCUGACUAAAUCUGGUGCAAGUCAAACUACACCCCAUGUCUAACUGUAACACACCAUUGCCCUCACUGAAUAUCACAUGUUGAAUAACUUACAUCUGGAACAUUAUAGCACAAUAAAUAACAAGCUGAAUGUACAAUUGUCCCCAGGAGAGACGAUGAGGAGAAAGGAGAUUUGCAGACAGAUGCUGUUGUGAUACAGGACAAUGAGCUGUAUUACAGUCACAAUGGCAUUUGUCCAGAUUCAUUUGAGGCGGAGAGGAUGAAAGAAUCAAGAAGCGUGAUGGAAAUGGACCCCGACUACGUGUAUGCCAACCCGAACAAGAAACAAAGUGGAGGUGUUGACCAAACAAACCCACUCAAGUUCAGUCAGUGUAACCCCAAGAACAUGGAGACUGCUUGGGACAAACAAACGGAACCUUGAUGUACAGGAUUUAAGCACUGCAGCCCAGUCGAAGGAGACGUCCCACUAGUAGUGACGCUGGCCUUGUAUCUGCCAGGAUUCUCUGUCCCAGGGUUGGACACGUGCUGAUUAUAAUCACCCUCUGUCUGUCAGUGAUGUACACGUGCUCAUGGAUGUCGCCGACGUGGUGAAUGUCAACGUUGUCACAUGGACAUCACUGACGACCUCUAGUCCAUCACCACCACCAAAUACGGACGUCAUCCUUGAAUAGGGGUUUGGAAGUAGUGUGUGUAAUCUUAAAACCUCACAGUAUUUCUAUAUGUUAUUGUUCACUUUCACUUAACAGUGAAAUACGUCAUCAUCAUAAGCAAAAGUACCACAUGAUUUAUAUUGACCAUAAAAUACCAUGAUGUUGGAU